GGAGUGGUGCUCGAGUGGCUGAAGAGGCACGCCUGGAAAGCGUGUGUGCGCCAAAAGCGUACCGCGAGUUCGAAUCUCGCCCACUCCG
This 88-nucleotide transfer RNA is filed under the name Muribaculaceae bacterium. RNAcentral's name for it is "tRNA-Ser". It matches the Rfam family "tRNA". Rfam says of the family: Transfer RNA (tRNA) molecules are approximately 80 nucleotides in length. Their secondary structure includes four short double-helical elements and three loops (D, anti-codon, and T loops). Further hydrogen bonds mediate the characteristic L-shaped molecular structure. tRNAs have two regions of fundamental functional importance: the anti-codon, which is responsible for specific mRNA codon recognition, and the 3' end, to which the tRNAs corresponding amino acid is attached (by aminoacyl-tRNA synthetases). tRNAs cope with the degeneracy of the genetic code in two manners: having more than one tRNA (with a specific anti-codon) for a particular amino acid; and 'wobble' base-pairing, i.e. permitting non-standard base-pairing at the 3rd anti-codon position. The record is from RNAcentral. Lineage: Bacteria; Pseudomonadati; Bacteroidota; Bacteroidia; Bacteroidales; Muribaculaceae.